GGCACGAGUUCAGACUCGUGGCGAAUAGCUCAGUAACACGUGGCCAAACUACCCUUCGGAACACAAUACCCUCGGGAAACUGAGGCUAAUGGUGUAUACCAUACCACCACUGGAAUGAGUGGUAUGUCAAACGCUCCGGCGCCGAAGGAUGUGGCUGCGGCCGAUUAGGUAGACGGUGGGGUAACGGCCCACCGUGCCAAUAAUCGGUACGGGUCAUGAGAGUGAGAACCCGGAGACGGAAUCUGAGACAAGAUUCCGGGCCCUACGGGGCGCAGCAGGCGCGAAACCUUUACACUGCACGACAGUGCGAUAGGGGGAUCCCAAGUGCACAGGCAUAGCGCCUGUGCUUUUCGGUACCGUAAGGUGGUACCAGAAUAAGGGCUGGGCAAGACCGGUGCCAGCCGCCGCGGUAAUACCGGCAGCCCAAGUGAUGGCCGAUCUUAUUGGGCCUAAAGCGUCCGUAGCUGGCCGCGCAAGUCCAUCGGGAAAUCCACCUGCUCAACAGGUGGGCGCCCGGUAGAAACUGCGUGGCUUGGGACCGGAAGGCGCGACGGGUACGUCCGGGGUAGGAGUGAAAUCCCGUAAUCCUGGACGGACCGCCGAUGGCGAAAGCACGUCGCGAGAACGGAUCCGACAGUGAGGGACGAAAGCCAGGGUCUCGAACCGGAUUAGAUACCCGGGUAGUCCUGGCCGUAAACAAUGUCUGCUAGGUGUGGCUCCCACUACGAGUGGGUGCUGUGCCGUAGGGAAGCCGCUAAGCAGACCGCCUGGGAAGUACGUCCGCAAGGAUGAAACUUAAAGGAAUUGGCGGGGGAGCACUACAACCGGAGGAGCCUGCGGUUUAAUUGGACUCAACGCCGGACAUCUCACCAGCAUCGACUGUAAUAAUGACGACCAGGUUGAUGACCUUGUCCGAGUUUCAGAGAGGAGGUGCAUGGGCCGCCGUCAGCUCGUACC
RNAcentral lists this ribosomal RNA (957 nucleotides) under Halorubrum xinjiangense. RNAcentral describes it as "bacterial SSU rRNA". It matches the Rfam family "Archaeal small subunit ribosomal RNA", at positions 59 to 1015 of the family's 1478-position model. Lineage: Archaea; Methanobacteriati; Methanobacteriota; Halobacteria; Halobacteriales; Haloferacaceae. The record is from RNAcentral.